AACGAACGCUGGCGGCAGGCCUAACACAUGCAAGUCGAACGCCCCGCAAGGGGAGGUGGCAGACGGGUGAGUAACGCGUGGGAACGGUACCCUUCCGGUUCGGGAAUAACCCGGGGAAACGUCGGGCUAAUACCGGAUACGUCCGCAAGGAGAAAGAUUUAUCGCCGAAGGACCGGCCCGCGUCGGAUUAGCUAGUUGGUGGGGUAAUGGCCCACCAAGGCGACGAUCCGUAGCUGGUCUGAGAGGAUGAUCAGCCACACUGGGACUGAGACACGGCCCACGACUCCUACGGGAGGGCAGCAGUGGGGGAAGUAAUUUGGGACAAAUGGGGCGGAAAGACCUGACGCAGCGACGCCG
Molecule: ribosomal RNA, 357 nt
Filed under: uncultured bacterium
Lineage: Bacteria
Description: bacterial SSU rRNA
Rfam family: Bacterial small subunit ribosomal RNA
Source: RNAcentral